GACGAACGCUGGCGGCGUGCUUAACACAUGCAAGUCGAACGGAAAGGCCUGUCCUUCCUUGUGUUGGACGGGUACUCGAGUGGCGAACGGGUGAGUAACACGUGAGUGAUCUGCCCCCAACUUGGGUAUAAGCCUGGGAAACUGGGUCUAAUUCCCGAUAGGACUGCAGGGUGGUGCCUAUGGUGGAAAACGAUUUUCUAGUGGUUGGGGAUGAGCUCGCGGCCUAUCAGCUUGUUGGUGGGGUAAUGGCCUACCAAGGCGGCGACGGGUAGCCGGCCUGAGAGGGUGGACGGCCACAUUGGGACUGAGAGACGGCCCAGACUCCGACGGGAGGCAGCAGUGGGGAAUAGUGCACAAUGGGCGGAAGCCUGAUGCAGCGACGCAGCGUGGGGGAUGACGGACUUCGGGUGGUAAACUCCUUUCGACCGCGAGGAAGCCGCCUGGUUGGAAGGGUGGUGACGGUAGUGGUAGAAGAAGCACCGGCUAACUACGUG
RNAcentral lists this ribosomal RNA (494 nucleotides) under uncultured bacterium. RNAcentral describes it as "partial 16S ribosomal RNA". It matches the Rfam family "Bacterial small subunit ribosomal RNA", at positions 28 to 507 of the family's 1533-position model. The record is from RNAcentral.